ACGGGGGGAGCAAGCGUUGUUCGGAUUUACUGGGCGUAAAGGGCGCGUAGGCGGUCCGUUAAGUCCGAUGUGAAAUCUCCCGGCUCAACUGGGAGAGGUCAUUGGAUACUGGCGGACUAGAGGGGGGUAGAGGAAAGCAGAAUUCCCGGUGUAGCGGUGAAAUGCGUAGAUAUCAGGAGGAAUACCAGUGGCGAAGGCGGCUUUCUGGGCCUACCCUGACGCUGAGGAGCGAAAGCGUGGGGAGCAAACCGGA
RNAcentral lists this ribosomal RNA (253 nucleotides) under uncultured prokaryote. Its description in RNAcentral is "partial 16S ribosomal RNA". It matches the Rfam family "Bacterial small subunit ribosomal RNA", at positions 525 to 777 of the family's 1533-position model. The record is from RNAcentral.